Molecule: ribosomal RNA, 984 nt
Filed under: uncultured Bacteroidota bacterium
Lineage: Bacteria; Pseudomonadati; Bacteroidota
Description: bacterial SSU rRNA
Rfam family: Bacterial small subunit ribosomal RNA
Source: RNAcentral
GUGCCAGCCGCCGCGGUAAUACGGAGGAUCCGAGCGUUAUCCGGAUUUAUUGGGUUUAAAGGGUGCGUAGGUGGUUUGAUAAGUCAGCGGUGAAAGUUUGCAGCUUAACUGUAAAAAUGCCGUUGAAACUCUCGGACUUGAGUGUAAAUGAGGUAGGCGGAAUGCGUGGUGUAGCGGUGAAAUGCAUAGAUAUCACGCAGAACUCCGAUUGCGAAGGCAGCUUACUAAGCUACAACUGACACUGAAGCACGAAAGCGUGGGGAUCAAACAGGAUUAGAUACCCUGGUAGUCCACGCAGUAAACGAUGAUUACUAGCUGUUUGCGAUACACAGUAAGCGGCACAGCGAAAGCGUUAAGUAAUCCACCUGGGGAGUACGCCGGCAACGGUGAAACUCAAAGGAAUUGACGGGGGCCCGCACAAGCGGAGGAACAUGUGGUUUAAUUCGAUGAUACGCGAGGAACCUUACCCGGGCUUGAAAUGUACCUGACCGUCCUUGAAAAGGGACUUCUAGCAAUAGCAGGUAUGUAGGUGCUGCAUGGUUGUCGUCAGCUCGUGCCGUGAGGUGUCGGCUUAAGUGCCAUAACGAGCGCAACCCACAUUAUUAGUUACUAACAGGUUAAGCUGAGGACUCUAAUAAGACUGCCGUCGUAAGAUGCGAGGAAGGUGUGGAUGACGUCAAAUCAGCACGGCCCUUACGUCCGGGGCGACACACGUGUUACAAUGGGAGGUACAAAGGGCUGCUACCUGGUGACAGGAUGCUAAUCCCCAAAGCCUCUCCCAGUUCGGAUCGGAGUCUGCAACUCGACUCCGUGAAGCUGGAUUCGCUAGUAAUCGCGCAUCAGCCAUGGCGCGGUGAAUACGUUCCCGGGCCUUGUACACACCGCCCGUCAAGCCAUGGGAGCCGGGGGUAUCUGAAGUGCGUAACCGCAAGGAGCGUCCUAGGGUAAAACUGGUGACUGGGGCUAAGUCGUAACAAGGUAACC